UCCUACGGGAGGCAGCAGUCGAGGAUCAUUCGCAAUGGGCGAAAGCCUGACGAUGCGACGCUGCGUGGAGGAUGAAGGCCUUCGGGUCGUAAACUCCUGUCGUACGGGAAAAACGGCGGGCGGGUUAAUAACCCGUCCGAGUGAUGGUACCGUAAGAGGAAGCCACGGCUAACUCUGUGCCAGCAGCCGCGGUAAU
Molecule: ribosomal RNA, 196 nt
Filed under: uncultured Verrucomicrobiota bacterium
Lineage: Bacteria; Pseudomonadati; Verrucomicrobiota
Description: uncultured Verrucomicrobia bacterium partial 16S ribosomal RNA
Rfam family: Bacterial small subunit ribosomal RNA
Source: RNAcentral